Lycium barbarum (goji berry) is the source of this 784-nucleotide long non-coding RNA. RefSeq lists it as uncharacterized. The record is from RefSeq and is a predicted model, not a curated record. NCBI's taxonomy places the organism in Eukaryota, Viridiplantae, Streptophyta, Magnoliopsida, Solanales, Solanaceae. The transcript is spliced from 2 exons.
AGGCAUGUAUACCAAGGGAUAAAAAUGUAAAUAAAUGCAUAUUAGUAUUAUGUUCAGAUCCAGUUCUAUUUAAAUCUGUAGCCCCAUCAACUAACCCUAGAAAAUCUCUUAAUCGCUUCGACGCCUUUGAUGUUCAGAUCUUCCGGUGGUCGUGUCGCAGGUGACUUUCGCCCUUGUAUGCGACGAGCCUUUCUCAAACGGAAAAAUUUCAGCAGGGCGAAAGUCGUCUGUGACCCGAUAAUGGAAGAUCUAGUUAUCAAAGGCUUCUAGGGGCGUUUUCAUGUCGACUUCAUUCCUAUCUCUAAGCAGAGAAUUCUCCCAGGGAUGAAUGGAGAAGGAAAUCAGUUCAGACAACUCUAUUAGCAAGGGAAAGAUAAAAUGAUUGAUUCUGUUUAAAAAAAAAAAAUAUGAUGGAUGCAGAUCACAAAAAUUACAAGUAAUGUUAUUGGGUGUCCGGCCAGUAGAUACCAAAAUGAAAUUGGGAAACUCGUAGAAAGAGAUAUGUCCGACAGCUUGGAGAAAGAUGUGUUCAUGGUAAUGGGACCAGAAAGAAAGAAAGAAGAGGAAGAAAGAAGAGAGGAAAAACUUGUGUUGUCUUCAGUGUUUUCAAAGAUGUCUGAUGAUCCUCUUGGUUGUUACUUAAUGAUCAUAACUACGAUCAAGCAAGUAUCUGCUACCAGUUUAUGCAAAUACUUGUCCUAACUUGUAAAGUUUUUUUUCGUUUUGGUCAUGAUUUGUAAAAUUAAAGGAAGUAUUCCAUUAAAAUAAUCAUUUGUUCAGUAAA